This 433-nucleotide ribosomal RNA is filed under the name uncultured bacterium. Its description in RNAcentral is "partial 16S ribosomal RNA". It matches the Rfam family "Bacterial small subunit ribosomal RNA", at positions 29 to 506 of the family's 1533-position model. The record is from RNAcentral.
AGCGAACGCUGGCGGCAGGCCUAACACAUGCAAGUCGAACGAACCUUUCGGGGUUAGUGGCGGACGGGUGGGUAACACGUGGGAACAUGCCUUUAGGUUCGGAAUAACUCAGGGAAACUUGUGCUAAUACCGAAUGUGCCCUUCGGGGGGAAGAUUCAUCGCCUUUAGAGCGGCCCGCGUCUGAUUAGCUAGUUGGUUGAGGUAAUGGCUCACCAAGGCGACGAUCAGUAGCUGGUCUGAGAGGAUGAUCAGCCACAUUGGGACUGGGACACGGCCCAAACUCCUACGGGAGGCAGCAGUGGGGAAGCUUGCGCAAGGGGCGAAAGCCUGACGCAGCCAUGCCGCGUGAAUGAUGAAGGUCUUAGGAUUGUAAAAUUCUUUCACCGGGGACGAUAAUGACGGUACCCGGAGAAGAAGCCCCGGCUAACUGCGG